Pteropus vampyrus (large flying fox) is the source of this 122-nucleotide ribosomal RNA. The record is from Ensembl. Lineage: Eukaryota; Metazoa; Chordata; Mammalia; Chiroptera; Pteropodidae.
GUCUACGGCUAUCCCACCCUAAAGGCACUGGAUCUCCUACAAUCUCAGAAGUUAAGCUUGGAAGCUAAGCAGUGUAGGGCCUGGUUAGUACUUGGAUGGGGGACUACCUGGUGCUGUAGGCU